GUCUCUCGGAGUCCAAAGCCUUUGGUUUACCUUUCACAGAGCAACCCAGAGCCCACAAUGGCAUGGAUAUUGCCCAAAACAAAACCAGUGCAGGUUGUGGGAGCACCCAGUUGUUUCUGACUGCUUAGUGCUGGGAUCUCUGCUCCAAGAGUAUCCAGGAAAAGUGUACACACCAUCUUACUGAUUCCUAAAGACCAGUGCCAUGUGCUUUUCCAGGAUUGUUCCAUGCUGCCAAAAUCUCCCAUGGAAAGUCCAAGAGAAAAAUUCAAGGAAGAUCUGC
RNAcentral lists this long non-coding RNA (280 nucleotides) under Lonchura striata (white-rumped munia). RNAcentral's name for it is "domestica (Bengalese finch) lncRNA (ENSLSDG00000016064.1)". The record is from RNAcentral. Lineage: Eukaryota; Metazoa; Chordata; Aves; Passeriformes; Estrildidae.